RNAcentral lists this ribosomal RNA (579 nucleotides) under Colletotrichum sp. BDS-2011. Its description in RNAcentral is "eukaryotic LSU rRNA". The stretch from base 216 to 369 matches the Rfam family "5.8S ribosomal RNA". Lineage: Eukaryota; Fungi; Ascomycota; Sordariomycetes; Glomerellales; Glomerellaceae. The record is from RNAcentral.
UCGUAACAAGGUCUCCGUUGGUGAACCAGCGGAGGGAUCAUUACUGAGUUUACGCUCUACAACCCUUUGUGAACAUACCUAUAACUGUUGCUUCGGCGGGUAGGGUCUCCGNGACCCUCCCGGCCUCCCGCCCCCGGGCGGGUCGGCGCCCGCCGGAGGAUAACCAAACUCUGAUUUAACGACGUUUCUUCUGAGUGGUACAAGCAAAUAAUCAAAACUUUUAACAACGGAUCUCUUGGUUCUGGCAUCGAUGAAGAACGCAGCGAAAUGCGAUAAGUAAUGUGAAUUGCAGAAUUCAGUGAAUCAUCGAAUCUUUGAACGCACAUUGCGCCCGCCAGCAUUCUGGCGGGCAUGCCUGUUCGAGCGUCAUUUCAACCCUCAAGCUCUGCUUGGUGUUGGGGCCCUACAGCUGAUGUAGGCCCUCAAAGGUAGUGGCGGACCCUCCCGGAGCCUCCUUUGCGUAGUAACUUUACGUCUCGCACUGGGAUCCGGAGGGACUCUUGCCGUAAAACCCCCAAUUUUCCAAAGGUUGACCUCGGAUCAGGUAGGAAUACCCGCUGAACUUAAGCAUAUCAAUAA